GGGUCAGUAGGUUGGUCGUGCCACCGGUACGUACUGGUUUCACUGAUUCCUCCUUCCUGAAGGACCGUAAUGCCAUUAAUUUGGUGUUGCGGGGUGACAGGACUGUUACUUUGAAAAAAUUAGAGUGUUUAAAGCAAGCUAACGCUUGAAUACAUUAGCAUGGAAUAAUGAAAUAGGACGAUCGAUCCUAUUUUGUUGGUUUCUAGGAUUGACGUA
This 216-nucleotide ribosomal RNA is filed under the name Glomeromycotina sp. RNAcentral describes it as "partial small subunit ribosomal RNA". The stretch from base 38 to 216 matches the Rfam family "Eukaryotic small subunit ribosomal RNA", at positions 684 to 864 of the family's 1831-position model. The record is from RNAcentral. Lineage: Eukaryota; Fungi; Glomeromycota.